Molecule: ribosomal RNA, 16 nt
Filed under: Lasiodiplodia theobromae
Lineage: Eukaryota; Fungi; Ascomycota; Dothideomycetes; Botryosphaeriales; Botryosphaeriaceae
Description: partial 28S ribosomal RNA
Source: RNAcentral
GAUACCCGCUGAACUU